This 67-nucleotide small nucleolar RNA is filed under the name Tinamus guttatus (white-throated tinamou). Its description in RNAcentral is "Small nucleolar RNA SNORD34". It matches the Rfam family "Small nucleolar RNA SNORD34". Rfam says of the family: snoRNA U34 is found in intron 5 of the ribosomal protein L13a gene in humans. U34 is a member of the C/D class of snoRNA which contain C (UGAUGA) and D (CUGA) box motifs, and functions in directing site-specific 2'-O-methylation of 25S rRNAs. The record is from Rfam by way of RNAcentral. Lineage: Eukaryota; Metazoa; Chordata; Aves; Tinamiformes; Tinamidae.
GGCGUCAAUGAUGGUUCCAACCUACAUUGUUUGAGACACAAUGAGAAAGGCCUGAGCUGAGACGCCC